Pygocentrus nattereri (red-bellied piranha) is the source of this 179-nucleotide long non-coding RNA. RefSeq lists it as uncharacterized. Lineage: Eukaryota; Metazoa; Chordata; Actinopteri; Characiformes; Serrasalmidae. The transcript has 3 exons. The record is from RefSeq and is a predicted model, not a curated record.
GUUACGUACAUUUCCUACAUCUACCACCAGCAUUUCUCAGCCAUCCCUCCACUGCUGCUUCGGGUUCUCGACUGAUCAGGAACUGUCCCGGGCAGUCAUGAGGAAUCCGUCUUCACAAACUGCAGGUGACAAAGAAACUGACCAGAGACCGCCACAUCUGGCAUCUGUCAAGAGCUGAG